Molecule: ribosomal RNA, 497 nt
Filed under: uncultured bacterium
Lineage: Bacteria
Description: partial 16S ribosomal RNA
Rfam family: Bacterial small subunit ribosomal RNA
Source: RNAcentral
GAUGAACGCUGGCGGCGUGCCUAAUACAUGCAAGCCGAGCGAACGAACGAGAAGCUUGCUUCUCUGAUGUUAGCGGCGGACGGGUGAGUAACACGUGGAUAACCUACCUAUAAGACUGGGAUAACUUCGGGAAACCGGAGCUAAUACCGGAUAAUAUUUUGAACCGCAUGGUUCAAAAGUGAAAGACGGUCUUGCUGUCACUUAUAGAUGGAUCCGCGCUGCAUUAGCUAGUUGGUAAGGUAACGGCUUACCAAGGCAACGAUGCAUAGCCGACCUGAGAGGGUGAUCGGCCACACUGGAACUGAGACACGGUCCAGACUCCUACGGGAGGCAGCAGUAGGGAAUCUUCCGCAAUGGGCGAAAGCCUGACGGAGCAACGCCGCGUGAGUGAUGAAGGUCUUCGGAUCGUAAAACUCUGUUAUUAGGGAAGAACAUAUGUGUAAGUAACUGUGCACAUCUUGACGGUACCUAAUCAGAAAGCCACGGCUAACUACGUG